GGGCCCGCACAAGCGGUGGAGUAUGUGGUUUAAUUCGAUGCAACGCGAAGAACCUUACCAGGGUUUGACAUCCUGCGAAUCUCUUGGAAACAGGAGAGUGCCUUCGGGAACGCAGUGACAGGUGGUGCAUGGCUGUCGUCAGCUCGUGUCGUGAGAUGUUGGGUUAAGUCCCGCAACGAGCGCAACCCACGUCUUUAGUUGCCAGCAUUUAGUUGGGCACUCUAGAGAGACUGCCGGUGAUAAACCGGAGGAAGGUGUGGAUGACGUCAAGUCAUCAUGCCCCUUACAUCCUGGGCUACACACGUGCUACAAUGGUGGUGACAGAGGGCAGCAAUAUCGCAAGAUAAAGCUAAUCCCAAAAAACAUCUCAGUUCGGAUUGGACUCUGCAACUCGAGUCCAUGAAGUUGGAAUCGCUAGUAAUCGU
This 425-nucleotide ribosomal RNA is filed under the name uncultured bacterium. RNAcentral's name for it is "bacterial SSU rRNA". It matches the Rfam family "Bacterial small subunit ribosomal RNA", at positions 917 to 1345 of the family's 1533-position model. The record is from RNAcentral.